This 300-nucleotide unclassified non-coding RNA is filed under the name uncultured Agaricales. RNAcentral describes it as "sequence contains 5.8S rRNA gene, ITS2". The stretch from base 1 to 71 matches the Rfam family "5.8S ribosomal RNA", at positions 84 to 154 of the family's 154-position model. Lineage: Eukaryota; Fungi; Basidiomycota; Agaricomycetes; Agaricales. The record is from RNAcentral.
GUGAAUCAUCGAAUCUUUGAACGCACCUUGCGCUCCUUGGUAUUCUGAGGAGCAUGCCUGUUUGAGUGUCAUUUAAUUCUCAAACUUUACCUAGUUUGCAAAAACUAGAUCAGGUUUGGAGUCUGGAAGUUGCUGGCUUUUUUUUAAGCUAGCUCUUCUAAAAUAUAUUAGCAGAAUUAUUGCUACUCAAUAUGGUAUGAUAAUUAUCUAUACCGUUGAAAGUAAGCUUUCUGAUUUUGCUUCUAAUUGUCUACCAAGACAACCUUGAUACCUUUGACCUCAAAUCAGGUAGGACUACCC